UUGACAGGUCGAUUUGUUGAGACUCUAGUGUCUCUUGGAUUUGUUCAUCACUAAGAAAAAAAGGAGCGACAAGACAGCAUUAGAAUGAUAAUUAAUUCUUUAAUAAUCAACUUGUUUUUUGCUUGGUAAUUGUGUCGUGAUUUAUUUUCGAAACCAGUCGAGUGUCCAACGCCCAUCGUCAAUCACGCGUGCAAGUGAAAGUGACAACGUCGGAAACAGCAGAAAUAAUAAAAGAGAUGAAAUGACCGAAUUUAUAACGGAACAAACAGCCGAAGGAAAGCCAUGACAGGAGGAACAAGGCGAUCGUUCCAUUAUUCCGCUCACGGAAUAUUCCAAAGACUCGUAUGGCUGCAUCACAUCUUGUGUUGGAACAUCUCCAAGUUAUGCAAAGUGUCGCCAUUUUAUGCAUUAUGAUUUUGGGCUUUUUUGAGAGAACCUUCCGUCUUUUGGUUUGUGUCGAAUCGUCCUGACCUUUCUCCCUUUUCGUUGCGACACAAAUAUCCUGCCGCCCACAACGGUCUGUUAAGUGGAGAGGUUCUGGGUGCAUUUCGAUCGAUAUCUCGUCCCGUGAAGGGUCCGCGAAUUGGUUUCGACGGGUUUCGAUGAUUCUAGUUGCGGCCUUUACGUUAGUGCUGCACGUGAUGGGUAUAGAAUUUGUGUCUAAUCGUCGUGUAUAUCGAUUUCAUCUUCGGUUAUCUAGUGCUUUAUUUAGUGAUCCAGUAGCUUUGCAAAUCAAUUUUCAUCCCAAAUAGGACGUCAUCACUACCUGUUAUGAUGAUGUGUUCCUAUAUUGCAUCCCUAAAGAUAGUCUGUGUCUUUGUCGGUAGCAAGGAUUCCUUAAAUUUCCGUGCGUAAUCUGAAGUGAUUUAUUAAAUUGAUUUGAAACGAAAUGUUUGUUUUGAAGACUGCUGUCUGCCCAUUAAUGUGAAUAAUUCCAUAAUUCGUGCGUCUUGUGAU
RNAcentral lists this long non-coding RNA (957 nucleotides) under Daphnia pulex (common water flea). RNAcentral describes it as "uncharacterized LOC124204495, transcript variant X2". Lineage: Eukaryota; Metazoa; Arthropoda; Branchiopoda; Diplostraca; Daphniidae. The record is from RNAcentral.